CCCACACCGAGUGGCACCCGAACAGGGACUUGAGUAGAAGGCAUUUCAAAGGAAACUUGCAAAUACCUGAUGUUGAAAGGAGAAAACUCAAGUUCCAGCUCUUAAUAAGUAAAUGCAUUGGGGUGCCUCCGUGACUGAGUCGGUUAAGCAUCUGCCUCCUGAUUUCGGCUCAGUCAACAUUCCCAUUGUCCUCACAGUCUUGCCUACCGUGAUAAUGGUAGAGAUGUUUAAAAUCCUUUGGCAGAAAGUCAUUUCUUGCCCAAGGAGAUUAAGACACAGACAGGCACAGAGGAAGAACCAUGUGAACAGACCGGGAGAAAAUGGGCAUUUAAAAGCCAAAGAGAGGCCUCAGAAUAAAUCAACCUUGCUGACACCUUGAUCUUGGAACUCUA
Long non-coding RNA from Suricata suricatta (meerkat), 392 nucleotides. RefSeq lists it as uncharacterized. The transcript is spliced from 4 exons. The record is from RefSeq and is a predicted model, not a curated record. NCBI's taxonomy places the organism in Eukaryota, Metazoa, Chordata, Mammalia, Carnivora, Herpestidae.